Molecule: ribosomal RNA, 566 nt
Filed under: Aureobasidium thailandense
Lineage: Eukaryota; Fungi; Ascomycota; Dothideomycetes; Dothideales; Saccotheciaceae
Description: partial large subunit ribosomal RNA
Rfam family: Eukaryotic large subunit ribosomal RNA
Source: RNAcentral
CCCCUAGUAACGGCGAGUGAAGCGGCAACAGCUCAAAUUUGAAAGCUGGCCUUCGGGUCCGCAUUGUAAUUUGUAGAGGAUGCUUUGGGGCAGCCGCCUGUCUAAGUUCCUUGGAACAGGACGUCAUAGAGGGUGAGAAUCCCGUAUGUGACAGGACAUGGCACCCUAUGUAAAGCUCCUUCGACGAGUCGAGUUGUUUGGGAAUGCAGCUCUAAAUGGGAGGUAAAUUUCUUCUAAAGCUAAAUACCGGCGAGAGACCGAUAGCGCACAAGUAGAGUGAUCGAAAGAUGAAAAGCACUUUGGAAAGAGAGUUAAAAAGCACGUGAAAUUGUUGAAAGGGAAGCGCUUGCAAUCAGACUUGUUUUGACUGUUCGGCCGGUCUUCUGACCGGUUUACUCAGUCUGGACAGGCCAGCAUCAGUUUUGGCGGCCGGAUAAAGGCCUAGGGAAUGUGGCUCCCGCUUCGGUGGGAGUGUUAUAGCCCUGGGUGUAAUACGGCCAGCCGGGACUGAGGUCCGCGCUUCGGCUAGGAUGCUGGCGUAAUGGUUGUAAGCGACCCGUCUUGAA